UUUGGUUGCUAUAUUCUGUAAAGUGAAUAUUUCUUACUUAAUUCAGACAAAUACAGAAUAUUUUUAAAUGCAUAUGUGAAUCAUCAUGAAUACUGCUAAUAUAUUACAGCAUUCUUCAAACAGAGUCAGAGCUAACUGGCUAUCUUUCCAUUUAACCUGCUACCAUUCUGAAGUUAUAUUCUUGUACAAGAACCUUUUUUUAAUGAAGUAGAAACUUAAAUCUUGUUAGUUUUUUUUUAUUUAUAUACAUUUUGUUAACAAAUUAUAAAUCUUAGCUAUCUGUAACAGAAUAUAAAUACAAAAACAAGUAUUUGUUUAUAGUCCAAUAUUGAUAUUUGGAAUAAAUAAACAAAAACAGAAGAUCAAAAUUCUCUUUCUAUUCUAUUGGUAUAUAUUUGUCCUGUUUGUCAAAAGUCAAGAUCAUACAUUACAUUUAGUUGUGGUUUUUUUUUAAACAAACGCAAAAACUGUAUUUCCUAACUCCUGAGAUUUCCACCCUUUUUAACCACAAUGUUUUAUGUGCAGUAAUUACAAAACAAGAAAUUUUCCUCCAUCCAAUCAUUAAAAAUACAGCUUUACUUUCAGGCAGUAUAACAAUGAUUGAUAAAAUAAUUAGCUGAUAUUUAAGGAAUGACUGUAAUAUUUUGAUCCGUCUAUGAAAAAAUAACAUAAAACAUG
Molecule: long non-coding RNA, 678 nt
Filed under: Mytilus galloprovincialis (Mediterranean mussel)
Lineage: Eukaryota; Metazoa; Mollusca; Bivalvia; Mytilida; Mytilidae
Source: RNAcentral